Molecule: non-coding RNA, 926 nt
Organism: Schizosaccharomyces pombe (fission yeast)
Lineage: Eukaryota; Fungi; Ascomycota; Schizosaccharomycetes; Schizosaccharomycetales; Schizosaccharomycetaceae
Source: the annotation of a GenBank genome assembly
GAAACAAGUCAUUUAAGAAAUAUUCAUUAGAAACAUUUGAAGAUUAACUUCAGAGACACUGUCGGCAUCCACAUAGUCAUCUAGAAGUCUGGAGUUGACAAGAGGUUUGCCUUUGUACAUCAAACGGAUAGAGGAAGGUUGCGUAGAUAACUGAGAUGCUAAAACUUCUUUAAGCUCCAAAAUUGUAGACUGUACAUUUAUUUCAGUAGAUGCUUGUUGAAUGGGAGGUCGGACAGUUUUCGCAACAACAUGAACUAGAUUUUUAGUUAAAAGUAGUUAUUUAAGCAGAAUUUACCUUUCUUUUCCUCGAACAAAGCUAAAUUUCCUUGAAACUCGACCAGUGGAGCAGGAAUAGUGAUCUAUAAAACUAUUAGUUUCAAUAGCAUAUUUGUGAAACAAGAAUCAUUAUUACGCACCGAAAUAGCAGUUUCAUCUAUUUUUUCAAUUGGAAUACUAUCAGGGUGAUUCCUAGGGGUCUUUGAAAGCUCUUCUAGAAACGAUUUAACAAUUUGUACCUCGCUCAUGGUGAUGGUGGAAUGUCAAGUUUACUCAAGCUAAUUAUCAAGUGUCCUAAAACCACUAAAGAGAAAAUCUCGAAACAAAUAUCAUACAAAAUGCCAUUAGUUCCAACUUUGACAAACAACACAUCAAAUCUGACGUUCAGUUUUUGAUAAUUAUGUUACAAUGCUGCUAACCGACAAAUUUAAGAGUCCAAAUCCUUGAUGUAAUAGCGCUCAAGUUCAACAUAAAGUAUUCUAUAACUUCGUCUAUUUCAUGCCUUAAGCUUUACAACCUCGCGAACGUAGUUUACUCAGAAUUGUCAAAAAGAAUAAUAAUUAUGAUUUUAAAAAUUUACUGUUAAAUAAAUUAUUAAAGUCAUAAGAAAUCUUUGCAUUGUUAAUAAAGUUGCUGUUGCAAAUACUAUC